UGGGGAAUAUUGCACAAUGGGCGCAAGCCUGAUGCAGCGACGCCGCGUGAGGGAUGACGGCCUUCGGGUUGUAAACCUCUUUCGCCAGGGACGAAGCGCAAGUGACGGUACCUGGAGAAGAAGGACCGGCCAACUACGUGCCAGCAGCCGCGGUAAUACGUAGGGUCCGAGCGUUGUCCGGAAUUACUGGGCGUAAAGAGCUCGUAGGUGGUUUGUCGCGUUGUUCGUGAAAACUCACAGCUUAACUGUGGGCGUGCGGGCGAUACGGGCAGACUGGAGUACUGCAGGGGAGACUGGAAUUCCUGGUGUAGCGGUGGAAUGCGCAGAUAUCAGGAGGAACACCGGUGGCGAAGGCGGGUCUCUGGGCAGUAACUGACGCUGAGGAGCGAAAGCGUGGGGAGCGAACAGG
This 409-nucleotide ribosomal RNA is filed under the name Brucella melitensis. RNAcentral describes it as "partial 16S ribosomal RNA". It matches the Rfam family "Bacterial small subunit ribosomal RNA", at positions 355 to 776 of the family's 1533-position model. Lineage: Bacteria; Pseudomonadati; Pseudomonadota; Alphaproteobacteria; Hyphomicrobiales; Brucellaceae. RNAcentral also lists the same sequence under 1 other name. The record is from RNAcentral.